AAGUCGUAACAAGGUAACCGUAGGUGAACCUGCGGUUGGAUCAUUACUAAAUGAUACUCUUUUUUAUGCUACAGGGGCCCUAAACAAGCCUUUGUAGUAUAAAAAAACACCAUGUGAACCUUUUUCUGUACUUUCUGUUUUUCUCUUUUGCCUAGAUGUUCGGUGUGUAUGUUUCGGCAUAUGCAUACGGUCGGGCAAAAGGAAGCAGAAACUAUAUAUAAACCACUGUCUAUUGAUACUAGUCUUAAUACUUUUUUCUAUAAUGAAAAAACAACUUUUGACAACGGAUCUCUAGGCUCUC
This 301-nucleotide unclassified non-coding RNA is filed under the name fungal sp. RNAcentral's name for it is "partial internal transcribed spacer region". The stretch from base 1 to 46 matches the Rfam family "Eukaryotic small subunit ribosomal RNA", at positions 1786 to 1831 of the family's 1831-position model. Lineage: Eukaryota; Fungi. The record is from RNAcentral.